This 69-nucleotide transfer RNA is filed under the name Rattus norvegicus (Norway rat). It matches the Rfam family "tRNA". Rfam says of the family: Transfer RNA (tRNA) molecules are approximately 80 nucleotides in length. Lineage: Eukaryota; Metazoa; Chordata; Mammalia; Rodentia; Muridae. The record is from Rfam by way of RNAcentral.
GGGGAUUUGGCUCAGUGGUAGAGCACUUGCCUAGCAAGCGCAAGGCCCUGGGUUCAGUUCCCAGCUCCG